GACGAACGCUGGCGGCGUGCUUAACACAUGCAAGUCGAACGGAAAGGCCCUGCUUUUGUGGGUUGCUCGAUUGGCGAACGGGUGAGUAACACGUGUGUAACCUGCCCUUGUCUUUGGGAUAACUUCAGGAAACUGGGGCUAAUAUCGGAUAGGAUCUCCUGCUCCAUGGUGUGGGUUGGAAAGUUUCGGCGGUUGGGGAUGGACUCGCGGCUUAUCAGCUUGUUGGUGGGGUAGUGGCUUACCAAGGCUUUGACGGGUAGCCGGCCUGAGAGGGUGACCGGGCACAUUGGGCCUGCGAGAGGGCGCAGACUCGAACGGGAGGCAGCAGGGGGGAAUAUUGCACAGUGGGCCGGCGCCUGAUGCAGAGACGCCGCGUGCGGGAUGACGGCCUUCGGGUUAUAAACCGAUUUGGCCUGUGACGAAGCGUGAGUGACGGUAAUGGGUAAAGAAGCACCGGCUAACUACGUG
Molecule: ribosomal RNA, 468 nt
Filed under: uncultured bacterium
Lineage: Bacteria
Description: partial 16S ribosomal RNA
Rfam family: Bacterial small subunit ribosomal RNA
Source: RNAcentral